UGGGGGAUAUUGCGCAAUGGGGGAAACCCUGACGCAGCAACGCCGCGUGAAGGAAGACGGUUUUCGGAUUGUAAACUUCUUUUGUUAAGGACGAAAAAGAUGACGGUACUUAAGGAAUAGGCCCCGGCUAACUACUUGCCAGCAGCCGCGGUAAUACAUAGGGAGCAAGCGUUGUCCGGAUUUACUGGGUGUAAAGGGUGCGUAGGCGGCAAGGCAAGUCAGAUGUGAAAUGUAAGGGCUCAACCCUUAAGCUGCAUUUGAAACUGUUUUGCUUGAGUGAAGUAGAGGCAGGCGGAAUUCCCGGUGUAGCGGUGAAAUGCGUAGAGAUCGGGAGGAACACCAGUGGCGAAGGCGGCCUGCUGGGCUUUAACUGACGCUGAGGCACGAAAGCGUGGGUAGCAAACAGG
RNAcentral lists this ribosomal RNA (407 nucleotides) under uncultured bacterium. RNAcentral's name for it is "bacterial SSU rRNA". It matches the Rfam family "Bacterial small subunit ribosomal RNA", at positions 355 to 776 of the family's 1533-position model. The record is from RNAcentral.